GAUGUGGGACUAAUCGUUCGGGCUUUAGACCCAAAUCGAGAGACGGGGAUUUUAGCCGGUACUGGUGGAGUACUAAUGCUACCCCGCGCUUCCCCUCAUCCGACACGUUGUCGCUCGCACAUCUCUCAUCUGCCGAUGUGGGACUACACCUUCUGAGUCUCGAUGCCCCCAUCCCGAAACCCUAGCUCUCCGAUCCUCCGGCUAAAUCGCUUUACCCAUGUCUGUGGCAGUAGUAGUCAUCUGAAGGAAUUUUUCAUCCGGUGGUCCAUUGGUUUGUCUGCGCUUUGCAUUGCGUGCUGCAGAUUUACAUUUGGGUGUCGUUCUGUUCUGGGAUACUUGUAACUCCUUUUCCUCCACACGGUAUUGUGCACAUAGUUAAUCAGCGGGCUGAAACUUUGAUUGCAGAGGGUGAAGAAGGUGGGAUCAAAAGGAUUUUGAGUAUUUGACAUCUGUGAGUUGUUCUACCUCAACUUGGAUGCAAACUGAAACAUCGGGUUCUUUUUUGUCCCAUGAAUACUGUGAAUGGUGUUAUGUUAACUUGUCUUCAAAUGCAUCGAGCAAUUCUAUCAAUGGUUCAGGUAAAAAAUGGUGGCAACAGGAUACGCUUACUUAUCAUUGAUUCUACAUCAUAUUUCAUAACACCCAUCCUUGGAGGCAAAAAUUCACAAGGUAUGCACCUCCUAUACUUGGCAUGGUUGCCUCCAAAAUGGAUCAGAUCCAUCUUUAUGGAGCAGAUUUAUAUCCUCUCUAUGGAAAUUCGCACUUGCGUCAAUGUCAAUGUGUAAUUUUCUUAAUUAAAACCUGUGUGCUGCCUCAAACACAAUCUAGUUAGAAGAAGAUGGUGGAUGGCAUUGUGGUCUAAUUAGGAAGCAAGCUUAGUUUGCCUUUUUUUUUUGUCCACAUGCCUCAUGAUUAAUUUGACAUAAAUUCUAUUGUUUCCAACUCCUUGCUUGAGUAGCUUUAUAUGAAAUCCACAAAAACACAAGUACAUGAAGGAAUAAUUUGAUUUUUAUCAUAGUGUCACGGACUUAGCUGGAAUUGCCUAAGUCGUGAGGCACCCUUACGGCAAAGACGCGAACUUAGCUUGCGUUGCCUAAGUCGCGAGUUACCCUUGCGGCAAAGACGCGAACUUAGCUUGCAUUGCCUAAGUCGCGCUUUGCCCUUGCGAUUUGCGUCCGCAAAGAUCAGCCCACUUGCAACCUCUCGCAAGUCCCGAAGGACCUAUAAAAGAGAAAGUUGAUUAGUUCGAAGAACGAGCGACAGACUAGUCUCGACGUCUUGCGAAAAUGGGAAGCUUUACAAACAAUUCAGCGAGCACCUUGCGUGCACAAGAGAAAAGAGGAAGAGGAGGAAAACAAGGACUUUAGAGGGUUGAACGAACAGCUGCUAGUCCAUAAACAGCUGCUCACUGGGUGCCGGGCGCGACAACAAGUUCCCGUCAUGGUAACGUGCGAACUUGCGAAAGAUUGUUCAACACCCGACACUAUACCGAAGCCCCAUCCCCCAUGGUGCCACCCGGGUGGUUCCAGGGUGCUGAGAUGGCUGACGUUUCGCGUGCGGCAGCGGGCUAUAGAAAACAGCCCGUGGCACGCGAAAACGGAGCUGUUUUCGGGCUGUUUUGCUCGGUUCGAUGAGCGGUCGGACUGUAGCAUUGCAACUUGUUCGAACUUACAUUUUUACAAGCAAAAGGACUUGAAACUAAGCCAAAACAUGCUGCCAAGCAGUUGUACAUAUAGACGAGAGCGACGAACGGUUCGUUGAACGGAGUUGUUGCGGGUGCGUGUCGACCGUUCGUGACAAUAGGGUGGAUCAGUUUAGGCUUGUCGAAAAUGAAGUAGUAGAUUUAUGGCAUGAAGAACCUUAUAAAUAACUUGCCCAUAGAACAUGCUGGAAAAGGGCUGCAAUGAUUUGUAAAAAAUACCAAACAUGAAAUGACAAUUCAAAAUUGAUGAUUUUUUUUUAAAUUUUCAUUGAAUGGUCCCAACUUAAUUUGGUUCUCAUUGCUUUAACUCGGCACAUUGGCUCAGGCUUUGUUGGCUUUGGUUUGCAUCAGUUCAUGUCAAUUUCAGUCAGUUGAAGUGAAUACCUAGUUCUGCUUAGAUUUGUACACGCAUCACAUUCCAAUUUCUCAUCUAACAAUAUGUGUCAUCUGAUGCUGCUCCAGAAACAAACUGGAAGUAUAUCUUUGAUGUUUCCGAGUGUCCCAGUACGAAUAUCCUAUAUUACCAGUUAUGAUAACUGUGUAUGCAUGUAAAUGAUUUAUGCUAGAUACAUAAGUUGCAUUGUCAUGAGUUCCUUUGACCUAAUUUUGAUCAAAAUGCAGGACUACCGUUGAUGAUUUCAACUGGAAUUCUGCUGAAGAAAAUAGCAAAUGAAUACAACCUGACAGUAACGUUGCAUAUUAUUUUGUGCUUGGCUGCAUGAUUCCUGUCUCAUUUUUCUGUGAUGAAAUGCAUGCCUUUUUUUCCCCUAGUUUAUUUUGUUGCUACUGUUCUUAGAAAACUACCUAGUUUUAAUCUUGAAUGAAUAUAAACUACUAUUUCUUGUGUAGGACAUGUUCGUCAUCUGAGCUCCAGUUGUGUGUGGCACGACGAGUUUGGAUCAAGCCUUAUGUAACUUGCUCCUAUCUGGUAAUAUCUCAAGCUUGAAAUGCAAAUAGAACACUAGAUGCAUGAUCCAUGAUUCGUCAUCUGUUCUUAUUAGGCAAAGCUUAUUAUCAUCAUAUUUUCACUACUUUCCAUACAAUUUUUCUUAAAAUUUUGACCCAUGUCAUAUCAUCAAAAACAUUGAUCAGAUAACCUUGUAGAUGAAAUAUGUCUAUAUUUUUAUAUAGAGAUGUUAAAAGUAUAUUUUGACUGUCCGAUGUGCAAGCAUUGAUGUUUUCUUACAAAAUUAUAUUGAGUGCAUGCUCAACAAAAACCCUAUAAUACGGAGGUCAGGAAAUGAGUUUGGAGGAUUCAUAAGAGUGAGUAGAAUGCAUCCCGAUCUCUUGUAGUGAUGUAACAUUUGACGAUGUAAGAUCCGUGGAAGGUGGAUUGGAAUAUUGGAUGUUACGAGUAGUUUAGUUAUGAACUUUAUUAAUCAAGUGGAUGCUUUGAUAGACAUAGCAUGGCUGAUAAGUUUACCUUCAAGAACAGCCCAAAUUGACUGAUCAGAUAUAGGGUUUCCUUGAUCCACAAGCGACACUGCUCUAAGAAGCGUGGGGACGGCUUUCCUGCUACACCAAUACCUUUUCCUUUACUGGUACCUUCAAGAACUGGCUUCAAUAGCAAGGCAGGUAACGAGCAGUAGCGUCAUGGAGCCGUGUGACUGACUUUGUUGGAUAAGCCAAUCAAGUCGCUGGUGUACAAGAAAAAGAAUCCCUACAUCACCGACCGUCCAUUUGAUAUCUAACGGCCCUCUGAUGCAAAUUCCUGUUGAGGCAUUGCAGUUUGAUGCUUCUGCAUUUGAAGUGUUCGAAUAACCGAUGUUGAAAUGGCUAUUAGCAAAUUGCAUUGAUCUUUC
Molecule: long non-coding RNA, 3504 nt
Organism: Musa acuminata AAA Group (dessert banana)
Lineage: Eukaryota; Viridiplantae; Streptophyta; Magnoliopsida; Zingiberales; Musaceae
Exons: 3
Source: RefSeq, a predicted model, not a curated record